Molecule: ribosomal RNA, 578 nt
Filed under: Trichoderma sp. NCIM 1053
Lineage: Eukaryota; Fungi; Ascomycota; Sordariomycetes; Hypocreales; Hypocreaceae
Description: eukaryotic LSU rRNA
Rfam family: 5.8S ribosomal RNA (bases 204-357)
Source: RNAcentral
AACCCCAAUGUGAACGUUACCAAUCUGUUGCCUCGGCGGGAUUCUCUGCCCCGGGCGCGUCGCAGCCCCGGAUCCCAUGGCGCCCGCCGGAGGACCAACUCAAACUCUUUUUUCUCUCCGUCGCGGCUUCCGUCGCGGCUCUGUUUUACCUUUGCUCUGAGCCUUUCUCGGCGACCCUAGCGGGCGUCUCGAAAAUGAAUCAAAACUUUCAACAACGGAUCUCUUGGUUCUGGCAUCGAUGAAGAACGCAGCGAAAUGCGAUAAGUAAUGUGAAUUGCAGAAUUCAGUGAAUCAUCGAAUCUUUGAACGCACAUUGCGCCCGCCAGUAUUCUGGCGGGCAUGCCUGUCCGAGCGUCAUUUCAACCCUCGAACCCCUCCGGGGGGUCGGCGUUGGGGAUCGGCCCCUCACCGGGCCGCCCCCGAAAUACAGUGGCGGUCUCGCCGCAGCCUCUCCUGCGCAGUAGUUUGCACACUCGCACCGGGAGCGCGGCGCGGCCACAGCCGUAAAACACCCCAAACUCUGAAAUGUUGACCUCGGAUCAGGUAGGAAUACCCGCUGAACUUAAGCAUAUCAAUAA